GUAGGGAAUAUUGCGCAAUGGACGAAAGUCUGACGCAGCGACGCCGCGUGAGUGAUGAAGGCCUUAGGGUCGUAAAGCUCUGUUGAAUGGGAAGAAAAAAAUGACGGUACAAUUCGAGGAAGGACCGGCUAACUUCGUGCCAGCAGCCGCGGUAAUACGAGGGGUCCUAGCGUUGUUCGGAUUCAUUGGGCGUAAAGGGGGUGUAGGUGGCCAUGUAAGUCAGGUGUGAAAGCCCCGGGCUCAACCCGGGAAGUGCACUUGAUACUGCGUGGCUUGAGUACCGAAGAGGGUAGUGGAAUUCCAGGUGUAGUGGUGAAAUACGUAGAUAUCUGGAGGAACACCGGUGGCGAAGGCGGCUACCUGGUCGAGUACUGACACUGAGACACGAAAGCAUGGGGAUCAAACAGGAUUAGAUACCCGGGUAGUCC
RNAcentral lists this ribosomal RNA (428 nucleotides) under uncultured bacterium. Its description in RNAcentral is "partial 16S ribosomal RNA". It matches the Rfam family "Bacterial small subunit ribosomal RNA", at positions 354 to 796 of the family's 1533-position model. The record is from RNAcentral.